UUCUUAAGUCAGUUAAACCUUUCUCUUCUUUAAAUUUAUAUUUUUAAUAUGUUUUUUUUUCCAUGGAUUUCUAAAAUGAGAUUUUCAGAUUUGUUAUUUCCCGUGGCAGGAGAAAACCUGGUGUGCAGAAUGAAGUCAUGACAGAUGGAACGGACCAAGCUAUAGUAAGCAUGUAUGAUGUGAAGAGCCUUUCAAGAACUUUUGGAUAAUCUACCUUCCGCUGAAGAAGAGGAUCGAUCGUAUGGGAAAAGCACCUGCAACAAGUAGUUACACUCUCCUAUUGAAAUGAGACCCUUGAUACUGAGAUCGGUUUCUGAUGGCUUCUGGUUUGCAAAUCUCUCCCACAAGAGAUUCAUCCCAGCAAAGUGACCUGAUCUGACCUAUUACAUCUGCUCAUCUCUGCAAUAAAUCCUAUCUAGCUUCCUCCUCAAAUACUUGCAUCUUCCCUCCCCAGGCCAGAGAGUUCACUCUUGUAGACUCACUGAUCAGAAGGCCAUCCUGCAUUUGUAUCAAUCUCUCAGAAUUUCAGGAUACUCCUUUGAUAUUAUGUAACUGCCUUUCAUCAAAAUUAUUGCCAAAAAUCUCUCCCCUUCCUGAAGAACUUUCAUCUGAAAUGCAGAGAAAACACGUGUUUCUAAUUCCAACCAUGAAUCUACUCUAACUUUUGGAUCCCUCUUCUGCUGAACUGAAAUAAAGAAUCGAGCUGUUUUGAAAAAGUGCCUAGC
RNAcentral lists this long non-coding RNA (725 nucleotides) under Vulpes vulpes (red fox). RNAcentral's name for it is "lncRNA (ENSVVUG00000002714.1)". The record is from RNAcentral. Lineage: Eukaryota; Metazoa; Chordata; Mammalia; Carnivora; Canidae.